UGCAGGCUAUCUGGGAACGAGAUCAUUGCAACGAGAUUGGGAUGAGAAUUAAAUUAAAGAUGGCUGUUAACGAAGUUGACUGUAGUGGGGCUUCUCGCCCUGUUUGGUUGGUCAAGGUACGUUUAUUUUGCUUUGUAUUUCAAACUCUUCAUGUUUCAUAUUAGGAGGAGCUGUUUAUCGCCUAAGUUGCAAGGCUACAUAACGACUAUGUCAAACAAAAGUAUAAAACAUUUUCAACAGUAUAUUAAAUUUGGCCACUAUUUGUUGUAUAUAUUUAGUUUCUCAUCCCUGCCCGCAUGCUUUUGAAGAAAAUUAUAUUGUUCGCCA
Molecule: non-coding RNA, 327 nt
Organism: Paramuricea clavata
Lineage: Eukaryota; Metazoa; Cnidaria; Anthozoa; Malacalcyonacea; Plexauridae
Source: the annotation of a GenBank genome assembly